GGAGAGCCACCCCAGGCAGCCUAGGAACUGAGAGCAGAUGAAAGUCCAGGCCCAGAAAGACCCUGCGUCGUCGCACCACAGGAACCAGAAAUAACGGCCUCCCUGAGUCAUCUUUCAGGAGUUCCAGGUUACUGCAGAAGCCUCCAUCCGCCCAACACCUUCCAACGAAGUUACAAAUGUGUACGCAAUAGCAAUCCUGUGAGAAACAGAGGCUCCCACCCAGCCUGGAUUAAAUGAAUAAACACAUGGGAACACGGAAAAAUGAAUCCAUGUGAGUAUUCUCUUUUCCCUCCAAUCCCUCAUGCAUGCUAGUCAGCUCCUCUACCAUCACCCUCCAGCCACAGCCCUGAGUGAAUGUUUUUACUGGACUGGACAAAGGCAUUGUGGAAGUGUGUGAAUAUCAGCUGAGCCCCGAAGGAGCAGUUGGAUGUUGAAAAGGCAUUCCAGACCACAGAAAUGGAACAAGUUAGUGUCCACGGUGGACUGACAGAAUGACUCAGUGGGUAGAAGUACCCCGCAGCCACACUUGAUGACCUUGCUUUGACCCCCGGGAUUUACACAAUGGAAAGAGUAAACCAACUCCUACGAGUUGUCCGACCUCCACAGGAGUGCUGUGGGGCACGUACACACAUACACGCACAUACAUGCACCACAGCAAAUAACUAAGUAAGCGAAUAAACAUAAUAAAAAAAAUAUGUCCAAGUUCAUGAAA
Molecule: long non-coding RNA, 712 nt
Organism: Peromyscus leucopus (white-footed mouse)
Lineage: Eukaryota; Metazoa; Chordata; Mammalia; Rodentia; Cricetidae
Exons: 2
Source: RefSeq, a predicted model, not a curated record